Non-coding RNA from Salmo salar (Atlantic salmon), 54 nucleotides. The record is from Rfam. Lineage: Eukaryota; Metazoa; Chordata; Actinopteri; Salmoniformes; Salmonidae.
UGUAUUCACUACUGUAAGUCGCUCUGGAUAAGAGCGUCUGCUAAAUGACAAUAA